This is a non-coding RNA of Caenorhabditis elegans, 124 nucleotides long. NCBI's taxonomy places the organism in Eukaryota, Metazoa, Nematoda, Chromadorea, Rhabditida, Rhabditidae. The record is from Ensembl.
GUGCUGCACAAUUUUUAUCAGAUUUAUGCGCGAAACAAAAGCCUCUCGCGGAGAGCUCCGCCAAAUCCGGUCUUCUUUUUUCCUUGCCUAUCGGAUUUCACAAACAUUCAGUUUGUCACUUGAC